GACAUUCCAGUCAGCUCAUCAAACUCAUUAGCAGCAAAGAUGGAGCCACACGAGUCAAAACUAGCAACUAAAUGACUGCUUUGUAUCAGACUAGUGACAUCAACACAAGAAGAGAAUUAGUGCAUAGAUUCCUUAUUCUCUAUCUUGGUGAGGAUGACAAGUGCCUGUUAAAAGACUAUCUGGAUUGUCAAGUUGAGAAAGUUGAACAAGACGUGGAAAGAAUGACCAUGGGCAUC
Molecule: long non-coding RNA, 236 nt
Organism: Polypterus senegalus (gray bichir)
Lineage: Eukaryota; Metazoa; Chordata; Cladistia; Polypteriformes; Polypteridae
Exons: 3
Source: RefSeq, a predicted model, not a curated record